GAUGAACGCUGGCGGCGUGCCUAAUACAUGCAAGUCGAACGCUGAAGGAGGAGCUUGCUCUUCUGGAUGAGUUGCGAACGGGUGAGUAACGCGUAGGUAACCUGCCUGGUAGCGGGGGAUAACUAUUGGAAACGAUAGCUAAUACCGCAUGACAACAGUUAUUGCAUGAUAACUGUUUAAAAGGGGCAACUGCUCCACUACCAGAUGGACCUGCGUUGUAUUAGCUAGUUGGCGAGGUAACGGCUCACCAAGGCGACGAUACAUAGCCGACCUGAGAGGGUGAUCGGCCACACUGGGACUGAGACACGGCCCAGACUCCUACGGGAGGCAGCAGUAGGGAAUCUUCGGCAAUGGACGGAAGUCUGACCGAGCAACGCCGCGUGAGUGAAGAAGGUUUUCGGAUCGUAAAGCUCUGUUGUAAGAGAAGAACGAGUGUGAGAGUGGAAAGUUCACACUGUGACGGUAGCUUACCAGAAAGGGACGGCUAACUACGUG
This 495-nucleotide ribosomal RNA is filed under the name uncultured bacterium. Its description in RNAcentral is "partial 16S ribosomal RNA". It matches the Rfam family "Bacterial small subunit ribosomal RNA", at positions 28 to 507 of the family's 1533-position model. The record is from RNAcentral.